This 433-nucleotide ribosomal RNA is filed under the name uncultured bacterium. Its description in RNAcentral is "partial 16S ribosomal RNA". It matches the Rfam family "Bacterial small subunit ribosomal RNA", at positions 29 to 507 of the family's 1533-position model. The record is from RNAcentral.
AACGAACGCUGGCGGCAUGCCUAACACAUGCAAGUCGAACGAGACCUUCGGGUCUAGUGGCUCACGGGUGCGUAACGCGUGGGAACCGUCCCUUAGGUUCGGAAUAACUCUCCGAAAGGGGUGCUAAUACCGGAUAAUGUCUUCGGACCAAAGAUUUGUCGCGUUUGGAUGGGCACGCGUUGGAUUAGCUGGUUGGUAGGGUAAGAGCCUAUCAAGGAGACGAUCCAUAGCUGGUCAGAGAGGAUGGUCAGCCACACUGGGACUGAGACACGGCCGAGACUCCUACGGGAUGCAGCAGUGGGUAAUAUAGGACAAUGGGCGAAAGCCUGAACCAGCUAUGCCGCGUGAGUGAUGAAGGCCUUAGGGUUGUAAAGCUCUUUUACCCGGGAUGAUAAUGACGGUACCGAGAGAAUAAGCUCCGGCUAACUCCGUG